UUAAGUUAUGUCACUUAUUGAGCUUUUAUACUUCACUAAGAAACUGUUUUACGCUUCAACGAUAAUAUUCCAAUCCCAGAAAUGGUUAGAUUCAAAGACUAGUGAACCACGACCAAGACAUCAAAGAUUAGCUAAUAGUAAAUUCAAGAUAUGUCACCGAACUUUUUUUUCUCUCCUUUUUUCCGCGAGAACAUAUUAUUUUAGACCAAUUGUUGAAAUUUUUUACUCACCCUUUUCCUUUUAGAUCCCUUUUUAGAGAAGUCUGUAUAAACUUUUUCUUCAAAACAAACAUCCGAUAGCCGAAUGUAGCUUAU
This is a non-coding RNA of Schizosaccharomyces pombe (fission yeast), 314 nucleotides long. The record is from the annotation of a GenBank genome assembly. NCBI's taxonomy places the organism in Eukaryota, Fungi, Ascomycota, Schizosaccharomycetes, Schizosaccharomycetales, Schizosaccharomycetaceae.